This 440-nucleotide ribosomal RNA is filed under the name uncultured bacterium. RNAcentral describes it as "partial 16S ribosomal RNA". It matches the Rfam family "Bacterial small subunit ribosomal RNA", at positions 338 to 795 of the family's 1533-position model. The record is from RNAcentral.
CCUACGGGUGGCAGCAGUGGGGAAUAUUGCACAAUGGGGGGAACCCUGAUGCAGCGACGCCGCGUGAAGGAAGAAGUAUUUCGGUAUGUAAACCUCUAUCAGCAGGGAAGAAAAUGACGGUACCUGACUAAGAAGCCCCGGCUAACUACGUGCCAGCAGCCGCGGUAAUACGUAGGGGGCCAGCGUUAUCCGGAUUUACUGGGUGGAAAGGGAGCGUAGGUGGCAGUGCAAGUCAGAAGUGAAAGGCCAAGGCUCAACCACGGGACUGCUUUUGAAACUGUACAUCUAGAGUGCAGGAGAGGUAAGUGGAAUUGCUAGUGUAGCGGUGAAAUGCGUAGAUAUUAGGAGGAACACCAGUGGCGAAGGCGGCUUACUGGACUGUAAAUGACGCUGAGGCUCGAAAGCGUGGGGAGCAAACAGGAUUAGAUACCCCUGUAGUC